This 460-nucleotide ribosomal RNA is filed under the name uncultured bacterium. RNAcentral describes it as "partial 16S ribosomal RNA". It matches the Rfam family "Bacterial small subunit ribosomal RNA", at positions 338 to 795 of the family's 1533-position model. The record is from RNAcentral.
CCUACGGGUGGCAGCAGUGAGGAAUAUUGGUCAAUGGGCGCGAGCCUGACCCAGCCAAGUAGCGUGAAGGAUGAAUGCCCUACGGGUUGUAAACUUCUUUUAUAAAGGAAUAAAGUGAGGCACGUAUGCCUUUUUGUAUGUACUUUAUGAAUAAGGAUCGGCUAACUCCGUGCCAGCAGCCGCGGUAAUACGGUGGGUCCGAGCGUUAUCCGGACUUAUUGGGUUUAAAGGGAGCGUAGGUGGGUUGUUAAGUCAGAUGUGAAAGUUUGCGGCUCAACCGUAAAAUUGCAAUUGAUACUGGCAGCCUUGAGUACAGUUGAGGUAGGCGGAAUUCGUGGUGUAGCGGUGAAAUGCUUAGAUAUCACGAAGAACUCCGAUUGCGAAGGCAGCCUACUAAACUGUCACUGACAUUGAUGCUCGAAAGUGUGGGUAUCAAACAGGAUUAGAUACCCCUGUAGUC